GAUGAACGCUGGCGGCGUGCCUAAUACAUGCAAGUCGAGCGAACGGACGAGAAGCUUGCUUCUCUGAUGUUAGCGGCGGACGGGUGAGUAACACGUGGAUAACCUACCUAUAAGACUGGGAUAACUUCGGGAAACCGGAGCUAAUACCGGAUGAUAUUUUGAACCGCAUGGUUCAAAAGUGAAAGACGGUCUUGCUGUCACUUAUAGAUGGAUCCGCGCUGCAUUAGCUAGUUGGUAAGGUAACGGCUUACCAAGGCAACGAUGCAUAGCCGACCUGAGGGUGAUCGGCCACACUGGAACUGAGACACGGUCCAGACUCCUACGGGAGGCAGCAGUAGGGAAUCUUCCGCAAUGGGCGAAAGCCUGACGGAGCAACGCCGCGUGAGUGAUGAAGGUCUUCGGAUCGUAAAACUCUGUUAUUAGGGAAGAACAUAUGUGUAAGUAACUGUGCACAUCUUGACGGUACCUAAUCAGAAAGCCACGGCUAACUACGUG
Molecule: ribosomal RNA, 495 nt
Filed under: uncultured bacterium
Lineage: Bacteria
Description: partial 16S ribosomal RNA
Rfam family: Bacterial small subunit ribosomal RNA
Source: RNAcentral